RNAcentral lists this ribosomal RNA (495 nucleotides) under uncultured bacterium. RNAcentral's name for it is "partial 16S ribosomal RNA". It matches the Rfam family "Bacterial small subunit ribosomal RNA", at positions 28 to 507 of the family's 1533-position model. The record is from RNAcentral.
GACGAACGCUGGCGGCGUGCCUAAUACAUGCAAGUCGAACGCUGAAGGAGGAGCUUGCUUCUCUGGCUGAGUUGCGCACGGGUGAGUAACGCGUAGGUAACCUGCCUGGUAGCGGGGGAUAACUAUUGGAAACGAUAGCUAAUACCGCAUAAGAGUAGAUGUUGCAUGACAUUUGCUUAAAAGGUGCAAUUGCAUCACUACCAGAUGGACCUGCGUUGUAUUAGCUAGUUGGUGAGGUAACGGCUCACCAAGGCGACGAUACAUAGCCGACCUGGGAGGGUGAUCGGCCACACUGGGACCGGGACAAGGGCCAGACUUCUACGGGAGGCAGCAGGAGGGAAACUUCGGAAAUGGACGGAAGUCUGACCGAACAACGCCGCGGGAGUGAAGGAGGUUUUCGGAUCGGAAAGCUCUGUUGUAAGAGAAGAACGAGUGGGAGAGUGGAAAGUUCACACUGUGACGGUAUCUUACCAGAAAGGGACGGCUAACUACGUG